CUACGGGCGGCAGCAGUGAGGAAUAUUGCGCAAUGGGGGAAACCCUGACGCAGCGACGCCGCGUGGAUGAUGAAGGCCUUAGGGUCGUAAAAUCCUGUCAGGUGGGAAGAAGUGGAUAUAGAUUAAUACUCUAUUUCUUUGACGGUACCACCAAAGGAAGCACCGGCUAACUCCGUGCCAGCAGCCGCGGUAAUACGGAGGGUGCAGACGUUGUUCGGAAUUACUGGGCGUAAAGCGCGCGUAGGCGGUUUGUUAAGUCAGAUGUGAAAGUCCAGGGCUCAACUAUGGAAGUGCAUUUGAAACUGGCAGACUUGAGUACUGGAGGGGGUGAUGGAAUUCCCGGUGUAGAGGUGAAAUUCGUAGAUAUCGGGAGGAAUACCGGUGGCGAAGGCGAUCACCUGGCCAGAUACUGACGCUGAGGUGCGAAAGCGUGGGGAGCAAACAGGAUUAGAUACCCCUGUAGUC
This 465-nucleotide ribosomal RNA is filed under the name uncultured bacterium. Its description in RNAcentral is "partial 16S ribosomal RNA". It matches the Rfam family "Bacterial small subunit ribosomal RNA", at positions 339 to 795 of the family's 1533-position model. The record is from RNAcentral.